RNAcentral lists this ribosomal RNA (497 nucleotides) under uncultured bacterium. RNAcentral's name for it is "partial 16S ribosomal RNA". It matches the Rfam family "Bacterial small subunit ribosomal RNA", at positions 28 to 507 of the family's 1533-position model. The record is from RNAcentral.
GAUGAACGCUGGCGGCGUGCCUAAUACAUGCAAGUCGAGCGAACAGAUAAGGAGCUUGCUCCUUUGACGUUAGCGGCGGACGGGUGAGUAACACGUGGAUAACCUACCUAUAAGACUGGGAUAACUUCGGGAAACCGGAGCUAAUACCGGAUAACAUAUUGAACCGCAUGGUUCAAUAGUGAAAGGCGGCUUUGCUGUCACUUAUAGAUGGAUCCGCGCCGUAUUAGCUAGUUGGUAAGGUAACGGCUUACCAAGGCAACGAUACGUAGCCGGCCUGAGAGGGUGAUCGGCCACACUGGAACUGAGACACGGUCCAGACUCCUACGGGAGGCAGCAGUAGGGAAUCUUCCGCAAUGGGCGAAAGCCUGACGGAGCAACGCCGCGUGAGUGAUGAAGGUCUUCGGAUCGUAAAACUCUGUUAUCAGGGAAGAACAAAUGUGUAAGUAACUGUGCACAUCUUGACGGUACCUGAUCAGAAAGCCACGGCUAACUACGUG